GAUGAACGCUAGCGACAGGCCUAACACAUGCAAGUCGAGGGGCAGCAUGGUAUCAGCUUGCUGAUACCGAUGGCGACCGGCGCACGGGUGAGUAACGCGUAUGUAAUCUGCCUGUAACAGAGGGAUAACCCGGAGAAAUCCGGCCUAAUACCUCAUAGCACAUAUUAUUCGCAUGAGUUUUAUGUUAAAGAGACUCGGUUACAGAUGAACAUGCGUUCCAUUAGCUGGUUGGCGGGGUAACGGCCCACCAAGGCAACGAUGGAUAGGGGUUCUGAGAGGAAGGUCCCCCACAUUGGAACUGAGACACGGUCCAAACUCCUACGGGAGGCAGCAGUGAGGAAUAUUGGUCAAUGGGCGAGAGCCUGAACCAGCCAAGUAGCGUGAAGGAUGACUGCCCUAUGGGUUGUAAACUUCUUUUAUAAAGGAAUAAAGUCGGGUAUGCAUACCCGUUUGCAUGUACUUUAUGAAUAAGGAUCGGCUAACUCCGUGCCAG
RNAcentral lists this ribosomal RNA (493 nucleotides) under uncultured bacterium. Its description in RNAcentral is "bacterial SSU rRNA". It matches the Rfam family "Bacterial small subunit ribosomal RNA", at positions 28 to 511 of the family's 1533-position model. The record is from RNAcentral.